This 910-nucleotide ribosomal RNA is filed under the name uncultured fungus. Its description in RNAcentral is "eukaryotic LSU rRNA". The stretch from base 501 to 910 matches the Rfam family "Eukaryotic large subunit ribosomal RNA", at positions 1 to 407 of the family's 3401-position model. Lineage: Eukaryota; Fungi. The record is from RNAcentral.
AGGAAUCAUUACUGAGUGAGGGCCCUCUGGUUCCAACCUCCAACCCGUGUUUAUUGUACCUUGUUGCUUUGGUGAGCCCGCCUCACGGCCGCCGGGGGGCUUCUGCCCCCGGGCCCGCGCCCACCGAAGACACCAUUGAACUCUGUCUGAAGAUUGCAGUCUGAGCAUAAACUAAAUAAGUUAAAACUUUCAACAACGGAUCUCUUGGUUCCGGCAUCGAUGAAGAACGCAGCGAAAUGCGAUAACUAAUGUGAAUUGCAGAAUUCAGUGAAUCAUCGAGUCUUUGAACGCACAUUGCGCCCCCUGGUAUUCCGGGGGGCAUGCCUGUCCGAGCGUCAUUGCUGCCCUCAAGCACGGCUUGUGUGUUGGGCUCCGUCCCCCCGGGGACGGGCCCGAAAGGCAGCGGCGGCACCGAGUCCGGUCCUCGAGCGUAUGGGGCUUUGUCACCCGCUCUGUAGGCCCGGCCGGCGCCAGCCGACAACCCAUCAUCCUUUUCAGGUUGACCUCGGAUCAGGUAGGGAUACCCGCUGAACUUAAGCAUAUCAAUAAGCGGAGGAAAAGAAACCAACAGGGAUUGCCUCAGUAACGGCGAGUGAAGCGGCAAGAGCUCAAAUUUGAAAGCUGGCUCCUUCGGGGUCCGCAUUGUAAUUUGCAGAGGAUGCUUCGGGAGCAGCCCCCAUCUAAGUGCCCUGGAACGGGCCGUCAUAGAGGGUGAAAAUCCCGUAUGGGAUGGGGUGUCUGCGCCCAUGUGAAGCUCCUUCGACGAGUCGAGUUGUUUGGGAAUGCAGCUCUAAAUGGGUGGUAAAUUUCAUCUAAAGCUAAAUAUUGGCCGGAGACCGAUAGCGCACAAGUAGAGUGAUCGAAAGAUGAAAAGCACUUUGAAAAGAGAGUUAAAAAGCACGUGAAAUUG